AGCACACCACGUGGUAAAUCCGGUUCACUCCGCCCUGGCAUCCUGAGGUCGUCCAGGAACCAGGGAUGUCCCUCCAACGAAAGUAUGCUACGUGAGCCGUACCACCCGGUUCUAGUCACGUGCGUGAUCGGGGCGUUGAUCUUUUCCCCGCCUCUCUCUCUCUCUCUCUCUCUCUCUAUCUCGCUCUCUUUCUCUCCCUCCUGCGAGUCACUCUGCGCCUCUCUCUCUCUCCCGCGAGUCACUCUGCGCCUCUCUCUCCUCCGUCGUCGUCGUCCUUCUUUUUCGGUUUCUUCCGCCAAUCACCGCAUCGCUUUCUUCUUUUCUCCUAUUAAUACCCUCCGAAGUAGAGCAAGCAAGAAGCUCUU
RNAcentral lists this long non-coding RNA (365 nucleotides) under Musa acuminata (dwarf banana). RNAcentral's name for it is "long non-coding RNA (MACU_LNC001305)". The record is from RNAcentral. Lineage: Eukaryota; Viridiplantae; Streptophyta; Magnoliopsida; Zingiberales; Musaceae.